This 26-nucleotide non-coding RNA is filed under the name Mus musculus (house mouse). RNAcentral also lists the same sequence under 1 other name. Lineage: Eukaryota; Metazoa; Chordata; Mammalia; Rodentia; Muridae. The record is from RNAcentral.
UGCUGAAAACAGUGUGGAUGGCAAAC